GACGAACGCUGGCGGCGUGCUUAACACAUGCAAGUCGAGCGAGGGGCUUCGGCUCCUAGCGGCGAACGGGUGAGUAACACGUGGGCAACCUGCCCCGAGCUCUGGAAUAACCUCGGGAAACCGGGGCUAAUGCCGGAUAUGACAUUGCCGGGCAUCUGGUGGUGUGGAAAGAUUUAUCGGCUCGGGAUGGGCCCGCGGCCUAUCAGCUUGUUGGUGGGGUGACGGCCUACCAAGGCGACGACGGGUAGCCGGCCUGAGAGGGCGACCGGCCACACUGGGACUGAGACACGGCCCAGACUCCUACGGGAGGCAGCAGUGGGGAAUAUUGCGCAAUGGGCGAAAGCCUGACGCAGCGACGCCGCGUGAGGGAUGACGGCC
RNAcentral lists this ribosomal RNA (378 nucleotides) under Frankia sp. RNAcentral describes it as "bacterial SSU rRNA". It matches the Rfam family "Bacterial small subunit ribosomal RNA", at positions 28 to 416 of the family's 1533-position model. The record is from RNAcentral. Lineage: Bacteria; Bacillati; Actinomycetota; Actinomycetes; Frankiales; Frankiaceae.